AAGCUGCUAACGAGCUAUGAGGUGCCCGUACCGCAAACCGACACAGGUAGGCGAGGAGAGAAUCCUAAGACGAACGGGAGAACCCUUGUUAAGGAACUCGGCAAAAUGACCCCGUAACUUCGGGAGAAGGGGAACCACGCGAGUGGUCGCAGUGAAUAGGCCCAAGCGACUGUUUACCAAAAACACAGGUAUCUGCGAAAGCGAGAGCUGACGUAUAGGUGCUGACGCCUGCCCGGUGCUGGAAGGUUAAGGGGAAAUGUCAUCGCAAGAGAAGCAUAGAACUGAAGCCCCAGUAAACGGCGGCCGUAACGAUAACGGUCCUAAGGUAGCGAAAUUCCUUGUCGGGUAAGUUCCGACCCGCACGAAUGGCGUAACGACUUGGGCACUGUCUCAACAAGGGACCCGGUGAAAUUGAAGUAUGUGUGAAGAUGCACAUUACCCGCGACUGGACGGAAAGACCCCGUAGAGCUUUACUGCAGCCUGAUAUUGGAUUUUGGCAACAGAUGUACAGGAUAGGUGGGAGCCAGAGAAGCGAGGACGCCAGUCUUCGUGGAGGCGCCGUUGGGAUACCACUCUUUUGUUGCUGAAAUUCUAACCUGUAACAGUAAACCUGGACAAGGACAGUUUCAGGCAGGCAGUUUGACUGGGGCGGUCGCCUCCUAAAGAGUAACGGAGGCGUCCAAAGGUUACCUCAGAAUGGAUGGAAACCAUUCGAAGAGUGCAAAGGCAGAAGGUAGCCUGACUGCGAGAGAGACAUCUCGAGCAGAGAGGAAACUCGGGCUUAGUGAUCCGGCGGUAGAAAGUGGAAUUGCCGUCGCUUAACGGAUAAAAGUUACCUCGGGGAUAACAGGCUGAUCUCCCCCAAGAGUCCACAUCGACGGGGAGGUUUGGCACCUCGAUGUCGGCUCGUCGCAUCCUGGGGCCGAAGCAGGUUCCAAGGGUUUGGCUGUUCGCCAAUUAAAGCGGCACGCGAGCUGGGUUCAGAACGUCGUGAGACAGUUCGGUCCCUAUCCAUCGUGGGCGCAGGAAUCAUGAGAGGAGCUGUUCCUAGUACGAGAGGACCGGAAUGGACGUAUCACUGGUGCAACUGUUGUCGUGCCAACGGCAUAGCAGGGAAGCGAAAUACGGACAGGAUAAACGCUGAAGGCAUCUAAGCGUGAAGCCCACCUCAAGAAGAAGAUUCCCACAGCGCAAGCUGGUAAGACCCCUUGAAGACGACAAGGUAGAUAGGUUGGCGGUGUAAACUCAGCAAUGAGGAAGCUUGCCAAUACUAAUGGGUCGAGGGCUUGAUC
Molecule: ribosomal RNA, 1292 nt
Filed under: metagenome
Description: bacterial LSU rRNA
Rfam family: Bacterial large subunit ribosomal RNA
Source: RNAcentral